UUGAAUGCAGCCUUGAUGGGUUGUUGCUGGCUCUAAACCUGAGCAUGUGCACGCCUGUCUUGACUUCUAAUUCAUCCACCUGUGCACCUUUUGUAGUCUUUCGGAGGGCUGGGGAGACUGGCAGCUCAGGCUGUCAGCUCAAACCUCCCACUGGGGGCUAUGUUUUUUAUCACAUACCACUUAGAAUGUAACAGAAUGUUGUCAAUGGGCACUCUGUGGCCUAUAUGAAAAACUAUA
RNAcentral lists this unclassified non-coding RNA (237 nucleotides) under uncultured Micropsalliota. RNAcentral describes it as "sequence contains ITS1". The record is from RNAcentral. Lineage: Eukaryota; Fungi; Basidiomycota; Agaricomycetes; Agaricales; Agaricaceae.